RNAcentral lists this ribosomal RNA (433 nucleotides) under uncultured bacterium. RNAcentral describes it as "partial 16S ribosomal RNA". It matches the Rfam family "Bacterial small subunit ribosomal RNA", at positions 29 to 507 of the family's 1533-position model. The record is from RNAcentral.
AACGAACGCUGGCGGCAUGCCUAACACAUGCAAGUCGAACGAGACCUUCGGGUCUAGCGGCGCACGGGUGCGUAACGCGUGGGAACCUGCCCUUAGGUUCGGAAUAACUCCCCGAAAGGGGUGCUAAUACCGGAUAAUGUCUUCGGACCAAAGAUUUAUCGCCUUUGGAUGGGCCCGCGUUGGAUUAGCUAGUUGGUAGGGUAAAAGCCUACCAAGGCGACGAUCCAUAGCUGGUCUGAGAGGAUGAUCAGCCACACUGGGACUGAGACACGGCCCAGACUCCUACGGGAGGCAGCAGUGGGGAAUAUUGGACCAUGGGCGAAAGCCUGAUCCAGCUAUGCCGCGUGAGUGAUGAAGGCCUUAGGGUUGUAAAGCUCUUUUAACCGGGAUGAUAAUGACAGUACCGGGAGAAUAAGCUCCGGCUAACUCCGUG